RNAcentral lists this long non-coding RNA (967 nucleotides) under Monodelphis domestica (gray short-tailed opossum). RNAcentral describes it as "lncRNA (ENSMODG00000051208.1)". The record is from RNAcentral. Lineage: Eukaryota; Metazoa; Chordata; Mammalia; Didelphimorphia; Didelphidae.
GGUGUCUUGGUGGUUUGGCGUUUGAGGCUUGCUGGUGAGGUGACUGGGAGAAGUUCUUAGCAUGCUUGAGAGCAGAACAACGUGAACCUGCAGAGAUCUGGAAGUUAUCACCUCUGCUUCACUCAGAAGUCAUCUUAGCAUGCUUGAUCUAGCUUGCCUUCUUCCCUUAUCCAAAAAGCCAUCCCUUAUAAAAGAGAUGAAGAAACAAGAGCUUCCUCAGUGACCGGAAGGGUGCUUGACGCUCAGAUGGUGGCCAAGAGGGGAUGUCCCCCUGCUGGGCGUCACCUACGAAUUAUGCGAUUUGGAUAGAAUCAUCCUCGAUUAAAUUGGCUUUUGAGAGGGACCACUAUGAAGUACGGGAGAGGUUCAUUGAAAAGAGGAGGAAGAGGAAGGAAAGCGGCGAAGCCAGAACCACCUUCUGCACUGACGAGCACAGUAAGAUUCCAGUACAUUCACGGGCCAUAACUUGGGCAUCUACAUUGUUUCUGUGUCUUUACUACCACAAGAGUUCCAGUAAAUAUUUUCACUUCUCCACAGCCUUCCUUUUGAACUUUAACCUUCUUGGAACAUAUGCCUAGCAAUGGGAUCUCUGGAUCAGAGGGGAUGGACAUCUUAGUCUCUUCAUUAUGGCAUAAAUCUAAAUUGCUUUCUGAACAUGAGCUUGGACAGACUUCAGGAGAUAGCAGAGGAUGGAUACGAGGAGCUGGCGUGCUGUCAUCCAUGGAGUCACAAAGAGUCGGCCAUGACUGAAUAACAACAACAUUGUUUUCCAGAAUGGUUGGGCUAGUUCACCAUUCGAUUCAAAGGACUUUCUAGAACUUUUCUAGCAUUCAAUAUGUCCAUUUCGGUCACCCUUGCUGAUUUGUAGAAUCUCAGAACUGUUUUGAUUUCCAUUGUAAAAGGAGAUGACAUGUAAUGCACUUAGCACAGUGCCUGACAUGUCGUCAGUGUUUAAUAAACGCUUAUU